GAGUUUGAUCCUGGCUCAGAACGAACGCUGGCGGCAGGCCUAACACAUGCAAGUCGAGCGCGGUCUUCGGACCGAGCGGCGCACGGGUGAGUAACACGUGAGUAACCUGCCUCGAAGUUUGGGAUAACUCUCCGAAAGGAGGGCUAAUACCGGAUAAGCCCACGAUGCUGCGGCACGGUGGGAAAAGGGGGCUUCGGCUUCCGCUUUGAGAGGGGCUCGCGGCCCAUUAGGUAGUUGGCGGGGUAACGGCCCACCAAGCCGAAGAUGGGUAGCUGGUCUGAGAGGACGAUCAGCCACACUGGAACUGAGACACGGUCCAGACUCCUACGGGAGGCAGCAGUGGGGAAUCUUGCGCAAUGGACGAAAGUCUGACGCAGCCAUGCCGCGUGAGCGAAGAAGGCCUUCGGGUCGUAAAGCUCUGUCCAGAGGGACGAAUAAGUCGGGUGCUAAUCAGCCCGGCCCUGACGGUACCUCUGAAGAAAGCACCGGCUAACUCCGUGCCAGCAGCCGCGGUAAUACGGAGGGUGCAAGCGUUGUUCGGAAUCACUGGGCGUAAAGCGCGCGUAGCGGUAACGCAAGUCGGGUGUGAAAGCCC
This 595-nucleotide ribosomal RNA is filed under the name uncultured Nannocystaceae bacterium. Its description in RNAcentral is "bacterial SSU rRNA". It matches the Rfam family "Bacterial small subunit ribosomal RNA", at positions 9 to 603 of the family's 1533-position model. The record is from RNAcentral. Lineage: Bacteria; Pseudomonadati; Myxococcota; Nannocystales; Nannocystaceae.